CAAAUAAAGAGCAUGCUGGACUGUGGGUGGCCAUUGGCCCAACAGGAGCUUUCAAGCAUAAUCUUGCUUAGGGCUUAUGUCAGCAGCAAGCACCGUUAACUAAGUCACAAGAAGGUUAAAAUUCCAGCAUGUGAGAGAAUCUGCUAUGAACAGGAGAUGGAAAGGAAAGGCAAGAAGAACUUGACCCAGGAAGAGAACUUUCUUCAAAAAGACUGGUAACUG
Molecule: long non-coding RNA, 222 nt
Filed under: Fukomys damarensis (Damara mole-rat)
Lineage: Eukaryota; Metazoa; Chordata; Mammalia; Rodentia; Bathyergidae
Description: lncRNA (ENSFDAG00000029751.1)
Source: RNAcentral